ACUUUUUUUUUCAUUUUUAUGAUUAAAUAAAAAAAUUAAUGUAAUACAGAUUCCUGCAAAUAUAGUAAAUGAUAAAUAUAUUCCUACAAAGUUUAACUUUUAUAUCUUAUCCCUACAAAAAUCCUAAUAUUUUUCGUUAGAAAAUUUUAAUUAACCAUAUAUUAAAUACUUAACCCUGAUUAGUUUUUAAUAUUUUAACCCCUCUUAUAUUACACUAUUAUGGUUUUUGGAGGUUAUAUUUGUGAUGGUAAAAUUGAAAAUAUAAAUGGUGCUCUAAAUAUUCUCUAACGAUACCAAACCAGCGAGACAGAUUUGAAAAUAGCAGAUCUUUUGUAAAAAAAAAAAAUAAAAAUUAAACUUUUUAGGGAUAUAUUUAUUAUUACUAUAUUUGUAGGGACCUAUAUAAAAUUAACACUAAACAA
Molecule: long non-coding RNA, 422 nt
Filed under: Ananas comosus (pineapple)
Lineage: Eukaryota; Viridiplantae; Streptophyta; Magnoliopsida; Poales; Bromeliaceae
Description: long non-coding RNA (ACOM_LNC001337)
Source: RNAcentral